This is a small nucleolar RNA of Ornithorhynchus anatinus (platypus), 138 nucleotides long. Lineage: Eukaryota; Metazoa; Chordata; Mammalia; Monotremata; Ornithorhynchidae. The record is from RefSeq and is a predicted model, not a curated record.
ACCCUCUCGGGGUCACAGCUGGAGAAUUUUCAGUACUCUACCAGUCUCGGCUAUGGGAGGGAGAGUCAAGCAGAGGCCUACCCAUUCCAUUCCUAGCUUGGGCAGUGGCUAGAGAGUGGAAGACAAGCUGACACAAGU